This 253-nucleotide ribosomal RNA is filed under the name uncultured bacterium. RNAcentral's name for it is "partial 16S ribosomal RNA". It matches the Rfam family "Bacterial small subunit ribosomal RNA", at positions 524 to 776 of the family's 1533-position model. The record is from RNAcentral.
UACGGAGGGUGCAAGCGUUAUCCGGAUUCACUGGGUUUAAAGGGUGUGUAGGUGGAUUGGUAAGUCAGUGGUGAAAUCUCUGGGCUUAACUCAGAAACUGCCAUUGAUACUAUCAGUCUUGAAUACCGUGGAGGUCAGCGGAAUAUGUCAUGUAGCGGUGAAAUGCUUAGAUAUGACAUAGAACACCAAUUGCGAAGGCAGCUGGCUAGACCUGUAUUGACGCUGAGGCACGAAAGCGUGGGGAGCGAACAGG